This 64-nucleotide transfer RNA is filed under the name Triatoma rubrofasciata (large kissing bug). Its description in RNAcentral is "tRNA-Arg". The record is from RNAcentral. Lineage: Eukaryota; Metazoa; Arthropoda; Insecta; Hemiptera; Reduviidae.
AAGUAAUGAAGUAAUAACUACACUUAGUUUCGACCUAAGAAUUAGGGAAUCUUCCCCUUACUUA